GCCAGACUCCUACGGGAGGCAGCAGUGGGGGAUAUUGCACAAUGGGGGGAACCCUGAUGCAGCGACGCCGCGUGGGUGAAGAAGUAUUUCGGUAUGUAAAGCCCUAUCGGCAGGGAAGAAAUUGGACGGUACCUGACUAAGAAGCCCUGGCUAACUACGUGCCAGCAGCCGCGGUAAUACGUAGGGGGCAAGCGUUAUCCGGAUUCACUGGGUGUAAAGGGAGCGUAGACGGCCAUGCAAGCCUGGAGUGAAAGCCCGGGGCCCAACCCCGGGACUGCUCUGGGAACUGUGCGGCUGGAGUGCGGGAGGGGCAGGCGGAAUUCCUGGUGUAGCGGUGAAAUGCGUAGAUAUCAGGAGGAACACCGGCGGCGAAGGCGGCCUGCUGGACCGCGACUGACGUUGAGGCUCGAAAGCGUGGGGAGCAAACAGGAUUAGAUACCCCAGUACCA
This 449-nucleotide ribosomal RNA is filed under the name uncultured bacterium. RNAcentral describes it as "bacterial SSU rRNA". It matches the Rfam family "Bacterial small subunit ribosomal RNA", at positions 330 to 797 of the family's 1533-position model. The record is from RNAcentral.